This 392-nucleotide unclassified non-coding RNA is filed under the name fungal sp. RNAcentral describes it as "partial internal transcribed spacer region". The stretch from base 1 to 46 matches the Rfam family "Eukaryotic small subunit ribosomal RNA", at positions 1786 to 1831 of the family's 1831-position model. Lineage: Eukaryota; Fungi. The record is from RNAcentral.
AAGUCGUAACAAGGUUUCCGUAGGUGAACCUGCGGAAGGAUCAUUAACACGUAUCCAAACGUAAAAAACCCCCCCCGUGAACAUUCAAUCCUGCUCUUGUAACCCGCGUAGUUCGCAAUCUCUGGUAAAUCAUAGCCCGGAAAGUAGUUUUGAUUCAGAGACCUCUGGCUACGUGAGAACAUUGGAACAGUUACAAUCGAGCGGUAGUUUCAUAGGCAUUGUUUCCCCAAGCAGUUAGUGUCUGAAAGUGUCACUGAUUGUGCAAGGAUGGGCAGGAGCUAUGCCAAAGGGUCCCCAUGCCCCCUUAUAACCCCAAAGUUUAAUGUGAAGCUCAAUGUAAUACAUUGGGUAACAAAACCGAACAACUGUUAACAAUGGAUAUCUUGGUUCUC